RNAcentral lists this ribosomal RNA (451 nucleotides) under Streptococcus mitis. RNAcentral's name for it is "bacterial SSU rRNA". It matches the Rfam family "Bacterial small subunit ribosomal RNA", at positions 28 to 465 of the family's 1533-position model. Lineage: Bacteria; Bacillati; Bacillota; Bacilli; Lactobacillales; Streptococcaceae. The record is from RNAcentral.
GACGAACGCUGGCGGCGUGCCUAAUACAUGCAAGUAGAACGCUGAAGGAGGAGCUUGCUCUUCUGGAUGAGUUGCGAACGGGUGAGUAACGCGUAGGUAACCUGCCUGGUAGCGGGGGAUAACUAUUGGAAACGAUAGCUAAUACCGCAUAAGAGUAGAUGUUGCAUGACAUUUGCUUAAAAGGUGCAAUUGCAUCACUACCAGAUGGACCUGCGUUGUAUUAGCUAGUUGGUGAGGUAACGGCUCACCAAGGCAACGAUACAUAGCCGACCUGAGAGGGUGAUCGGCCACACUGGGACUGAGACACGGCCCAGACUCCUACGGGAGGCAGCAGUAGGGAAUCUUCGGCAAUGGACGGAAGUCUGACCGAGCAACGCCGCGUGAGUGAAGAAGGUUUUCGGAUCGUAAAGCUCUGUUGUAAGAGAAGAACGAGUGUGGGAGUGGAAAGUUC